GACGAACGCUGGCGGCGUGCUUAACACAUGCAAGUCGAACGGUAAGGCCCUUCGGGGUACACGAGUGGCGAACGGGUGAGUAACGCGUGAGUAACCUGCCCUUCACUCUGGGAUAACAGUUGGAAACGGCUGCUAAUACCGGAUAUUCAGCUCCUGUCGCAUGGUGGGGGUUGGAAAGUUUUGGUGGUGGAGGAUGGGCUCGCGUCCUAUCAGCUUGUUGGUGGGGUGAUGGCCUACCAAGGCGUCGACGGGUAGCCGGCCUGAGAGGGCGACCGGCCGCAUUGGGACUGAGAUACGGCCCAAACUCCUACGGGAGGCAGCAGUGGGGAAUAUUGCACAAUGGGCGGAAGCCUGAUGCAGCAACGCCGCGUGCGGGAUGACGGCCUUCGGGUUGUAAACCGCUUUCAGCAGGGACGAAGCGCAAGUGACGGUACCUGCAGAAGAAGCACCGGCUAACUACGUG
RNAcentral lists this ribosomal RNA (463 nucleotides) under uncultured bacterium. RNAcentral's name for it is "partial 16S ribosomal RNA". It matches the Rfam family "Bacterial small subunit ribosomal RNA", at positions 28 to 507 of the family's 1533-position model. The record is from RNAcentral.